CCUACGGGAGGCAGCAGUGGGGAAUAUUGGACAAUGGGGGCAACCCUGAUCCAGCCAUGCCGCGUGUGUGAAGAAGGCCCUCGGGUUGUAAAGCACUUUCAGUGAGGAAGAACGCCUGGUGGUUAAUACCCAUCAGGAAAGACAUCACUCACAGAAGAAGCACCGGCUAACUCCGUGCCAGCAGCCGCGGUAAUACGGAGGGUGCGAGCGUUAAUCGGAAUUACUGGGCGUAAAGCGCGCGUAGGUGGCUUGAUAAGCCGGUUGUGAAAGCCCCGGGCUCAACCUGGGAACGACAUCCGGAACUGUCAAGCUAGAGUGCAUGAGAGGAAGGUAGAAUUCCCGGUGUAGCGGUGAAAUGCGUAGAGAUCGGGAGGAAUACCAGUGGCGAAGGCGGCCUUCUGGACUGACACUGACACUGAGGUGCGAAAGCGUGGGUAGCAAACAGGAUUAGAUACCCGUGUAGUC
RNAcentral lists this ribosomal RNA (465 nucleotides) under Vreelandella stevensii. Its description in RNAcentral is "partial 16S ribosomal RNA". It matches the Rfam family "Bacterial small subunit ribosomal RNA", at positions 338 to 795 of the family's 1533-position model. The record is from RNAcentral. Lineage: Bacteria; Pseudomonadati; Pseudomonadota; Gammaproteobacteria; Oceanospirillales; Halomonadaceae.